Molecule: non-coding RNA, 3185 nt
Organism: Danio rerio (zebrafish)
Lineage: Eukaryota; Metazoa; Chordata; Actinopteri; Cypriniformes; Danionidae
Source: RefSeq, a predicted model, not a curated record
GGGGUGUGUGCAGGGGUGAUAGAGCAGAAAACUGUUAUCUUUCAUUGCCAAACUGCAUCAGCUCGUCAUACACUAUAGAGUUGGCACUGGAUCUGUUGUGAAUUUGUACUCCAUUUAUUAUUACGAUCUCAUCAAGAAUAUGAUGGUAUUGUUGUUCUUAUGAAAUGUAACUGUAAUAUGACAUUCAUAUGAAGAGAUCUUAAUUUUGUUUUAUUAAAAGGAGGUGUUUUGGAGCAAUGGAAAUAUGUAGAGGAAUUCCGGCUGACAAGAAAGAGAAGAGGAGAUGAAGAGCUGACCUCAACUAACCAUUCAGCACUAUCACCACACUUCAGAAUGGAGGAGGAGGGUCUGUAAGGGGAAAUGAGGAGAAAUGCGGAGCAGAGCUGCAGUUUUUUGAGUUCACAGGAACCGAGGGGGAGAAAAACAGAGAUGACAGUCGUAAAAGUGGCCUUGUGCUUCCUGAUGAUCCUAAACAUCUUUAAAGAUAUUAGAGCGAAUGCAGACAUGGUGGAUGUUUGUGCCUCUUGUCAUCGAAACGCCACCUGUGAUGAUAAAACUGACGGAUCAGGAGGGAAAGUCUGCAACUGCAUGUAUGGAUUUGUCGGCAAUGGGAGGACUUAUUGCCAAGAUAAAGAUGAAUGUCAGCUGGGUAAAAUCUGUGGCGAUCACACCAAAUGCCACAACACACACGGCAGCUACUUCUGCACCUGUCUCGCAGGGUACAGCCCGUCUAAUCAAAUGAACACAUUCAUCCCCAAUGAUGGGACGUACUGCCAUGAUAUUGAUGAGUGCGUUGUUCAGGGGGUCUGUGGAGAAGGAGGACUCUGUCAGAACACAGAAGGAGAUUUUACCUGCUCCUGUCAGACGGGUUAUAAAGUCCAGGAUGGAUCUGAACCCUUUAAUCCAAACCGGGACGCAGCUCACUGCAAGGUGAUUGACUGUGGGUCUCCUCCAGCCGUCCUGCAUGCUGAUCUGCUCUCCUCCACAGUCAACACACACUACAGUACUGAGCUCCAGUACGGCUGCAGAGACGGCUUUCAGUGGAGGAGAGGACUCAACUCAUCUGUUUGCGGCCUGGAUGGAAAAUGGCAGGGGCCCAGUCUGGACUGUGAAGAAGUGGACUGUGGAGAGCCUCAUAUUUUUCCUCAGUCAGAACUAAUGUGGAAUCACACCUCUCGGAUGGGAUCUUUGGUGCUGUAUGUGUGUAAGCCACAGUUUUAUAAUCGUGGACUUGAAAAUGUGUCAGUGUGUUCUGCUCGGGGCACGUGGAGCCGUGCUGACUUCCAGUGUGCAGAGAUAGAAUGCGGUUCUCCUGCUGUCCUGCCGCACUCUGUGUUAUUGUGGAGCGGUGUCAGUAAGAUCGGUUCUGAAGCUCUGUAUGACUGUGAUGUCGGAUAUCACAGUUCGGAUACAGAAAAUAAGUCUGUGUGUAAAUCAGACGGUCAGUGGAGUAAGCCAGACUACUCUUGUGAAGAGAUUGUGUGUGGCGAGCCUCAUAUUCUGCCACUCACUGUGCAGAUAUGGGAUGGCAGAGUCACGUUUAACAGCACUGUAACAUAUCAAUGCCAACACGGUUACUAUCCUAAACAAGGACAAAAUAUAUCUGUGUGUGCUGAGAACGGUUACUGGACAAAAGCUACUCUGUUGUGUGAAGAGGUGCACUGUGGAUUACCGCCUUCUCUCCCGCUCGCGGUUAUGAUAUGGAGAGGAGACACUAAGGUUGGAUCUAGUGUGUCUUAUAAGUGCAUUGAGGGAUUUCGUAAUGUUAGGAAAGAAGAAACAUCAGUUUGUGAUUCAGAGGGAAUCUGGAGUCUGCCUGAUUUUCUCUGUCAAGAAGUAGACUGUGGCGUCCCCGUCUCUCUGCCUCAUUCAGUUGUGUUGUGGAAUAACAGCUCCAGUCUGGGCUCCGUGGCCCUCUAUGUGUGUCAAGCUGGAUUUCACACUGUGGGUGAAGGAAACGUGUCUCUGUGUCGUUCAGACGCAAAAUGGAGCAAACUUAACAUGAGAUGCGAAGAGAUCAACUGUGGGCCUCCUCCAGAAUUCCCACACACAGAUUUAGACUGGAACAAAGCAUCUACACUGGGAAGUGUGGUUCAGUAUAAAUGUAAAUCUGGACUCAAACAGGAGGGUGACAAAAACAUGACGAUGUGCAAAUCAGACGGAACGUGGGAAAAAGUGUCUGUAACGUGUUCAGCACACUGUGGCCCUGCACCAGAGCUGCCGCACACUGAGGUAUUAUGGGACAACAGCACUGCAGUCGUUCACCGCUGUGUUAAAGGACACUACAGACACGCCGGAAGUGACAUUUCAAAAUGUGACAUUACUGGAGAAUGGCAGGUUGCCACUCUCCAUUGCAGAGAGCUGAAGCUGACAAUAAAUGAUCUGGUGGUGUUUAAUGAAAGAUGUCUACGCUGGAAUGCAGAGAAUGAAGGGUAUAGGGAGAAAUACACAGUGACGUUUGUUGGAUUGCGAGACUUUGAGCAUUUCUUCAGUGACAGGAGAAAGAUGUUGUUUACCUCCUCUGCAGUUUGGCCUGUUCUCUGCUUAAAUCUCCUGCCAGCAACAAACUACACCAUAACAAUCACGGCCGAGUCCACACGAGCCACGGCUACAGUUACAGCAAACACUAGCAUACCAGUUCCCCCAACACCAGAAAUCAAAUACAGUGAAGUAGAGGCUUCAUCGCCCACUCUCAGACUGAGAAGAUCCACCAACACACUCGACUCAAUAUGCAUGUACGAGGUGUUUGUGUUGCCGGUGGAGGGUGUGAUGCUGUUUGACUGCAGCUCCUCUUUAAGUCGGCACUUUUCAACACAGCAGGGCUGUGAUGGCGGAUACGUCACGGCUCAGAUUCAGCUUCGAGAUCUGAACGCAGAAAUGAACUUCACUGUGGGCGAUCAGCAGCUCUACGGAGACUUCUUCAACGCUCCUCUGCAGAACGGAAAAGACUAUUUCAUUAUCCUGCGCACCGUGUGUCAGUGGGGAAAGGGACACACUACAUCAUGAAGAUAUCUGCUUUGGUAACUGUUGGAUCGAUUAGUGCUGUCGGCUCAGUCAUUAUUGUGGGAUACUGGUACAGCUGGUACUGUAAAAAGUCCAGUCCUAGGCAUUUUUCUCAAGUUUUAUAAAAACAUCCUGACAUACUGAUACUUUGUUUUUAAAUAAAGCUGAUUGUCUUGUCAUAA